UGAUCCUGCAAACGCAGAAAAAAAUAAAAUCAAGGCAGGGCACAAUAGGUGUGACUCAUGGCUUCACGCUUCGGGGGGCUCGGGACACGCACGCUGUAGCCGAACUGCGUCCACGUCCCUCUAUGGGGCAGUGAGCAGACCAUCUAGUGACGAAGCAAACGGAAUAAAUAUGGGCUUGGGGCAGAGCGAGGCUUUUAAAGGAGACGGCGGACAAAGAUACCCGACAGAGCUGGAUGAACGGGGAUGUAAAAGGGAGGGAUGACUCAGAGGAAACAAGACAACAGGGGGACAGACAGAUGUUGAAAUGGGUGUUGGCGGAUCACGUCUCCUGGAGCACUUGUCGUUUACUUGAAUCCCCGGGAGAAGCUAAGAGGCUGCUGCUCUACACGGACAGGUGAAGCAGGAGGAGAAGAAACAACACCUGGGUGUCACCAGGGGCAUCGCACGCAUGAUCCAAACUCAGCCUCCCCCUCCUGGUGCGCCCGCAGGCGGCAAAGGCAUGCAAAUUGAGCAAUGGAUGAGGAGUAAAAGAAAGGAGAAACACAGUGAAAUGGUCACCGGAGGGACGGUGAUAAAGAAUACAUGCAAACAGAGAAAAGCACCGGUCAAUGAGAAUGAUAUAGGGAAGAACAGGGAGGUGGAUGUGCCAUCUGCAGAUAUACAGUGAUGGAUUAUGCGAGGUUCUGUUUCCACCAGAUGGCGCUGUAAUGCACUAAAAACCCACAUCCUAUUUUGAUAUUUUUCUCAAUAUAUCAGAGACCAAACAUCAUUGGAAAAUGGGAGGCAUAAAAAAUAAAAACACAUAACGGAAUAGACCUAUGGCAGGAUUUUGAAAAACAGCAGAGCAGCAGCAUCUCAAAAGAUGUAUACGAGUUAUUGAAUAAUAAAUUAUGCCAAUUGUCAAACACAGAAUUACAUUAAUAGUCUUAGUUGAAAUGCAUUGAUUGUGCUGUCAUUUUCUAUGUAGCUUGUGUAUUUAAAGACCCUAUCUAUAUAUCUAUAUAUAUAUAUAGAUAUAUAGAUAUAUAGCUUACAAACUCAAUCCUAUGUUCUAUAUAAUGUCAACGCCCCAUCAUGUCACAAAACCUUUCAAAUUCCCAUAAUUAUUACAGAGGACAUGUUGUUUAGUAUGUAUACGGUUUAAAAACCGCGCUAGUCAUAUCUUUGGAUUGAACAUGGCUCCUGUGGUUGUUCCUGUAGUGCUGUUCACUAAUUGAGUAUCAGUGUGCUCGAGUAGUGUCGUACCUCACUCUCCAGAGUGUGUAUCUCUCUGGGCAGCUCCACAGCGUGCCGGCUGAAGUAGUCCAUGGUGAUGGCGUUGUUCCAGUAGCUGAGGUUGUUCUCCUGACUCGAGGACUUCUUCUUCCUCCUCAUGCAGCACACAGUCAAGAGCACAGCUAGGGCGGGCAGAAGAAAAGGAGAGGGAGGUCAGAGACUCAAAGCAGCCGCUUCAAAUAGCCCCCUGGAAGCGCCCACUAUCGCACAAGAUGUUGCUCGAAAAGGCAACUGGUGGGUGUGCCGUGUAGUCAUUUUGAUCACUCCGGAAGACACUGUCAGGAAUCUUAAAGGAUAAUUAUUUAUAAUUAAAACAGACUACAGUGCAAGUGUUUUUCCUAAGGUGCAACUCUCCUCAAAAAGUUAUCAUGCUAUUGCUCUCUCAUCAGUACACAACAGGGUCGAGUCCUGAGUGUGUGUGGGGGCUUUCAACAAAAUGAGCGAGAACCGUCUACUGAAACAAGGUGAAGAAAACAAGAGACUGAAAAGGAAUAAAUGCCACUGUGAAACUCUUCGGUGACCUCAACAAACCUUGUUGUAAAUGAUUUCCUGUAAGAGAUACGGUUGAAAGAAAAUAGUUCCUACAUGUGAUAUUUAUUUUUCUCAUCUAACUCUCCACAAAUAAAGCGAGCGAGUCAAAUUCUUCAAA
Gasterosteus aculeatus aculeatus (three-spined stickleback) is the source of this 1924-nucleotide non-coding RNA. Lineage: Eukaryota; Metazoa; Chordata; Actinopteri; Perciformes; Gasterosteidae. The record is from RefSeq and is a predicted model, not a curated record.